Molecule: long non-coding RNA, 7821 nt
Filed under: Brassica napus (rape)
Lineage: Eukaryota; Viridiplantae; Streptophyta; Magnoliopsida; Brassicales; Brassicaceae
Description: long non-coding RNA (BNAP_LNC014740)
Rfam family: tRNA (bases 4222-4292)
Source: RNAcentral
AUCAAUCUUGACUAUUUUUCUCGGCUUUAAUUCCCGACUCCUAUCACAGGGCGGUUCUAGGGAGCGUGAGCGACUACUGUGCUCAUCAUGCUCAUUGCUCGGUGAUGAUCGUGAAGAAGCCUAAGAUCAAGCACUGAUGAUCACCUAAACCCAAGCUGUUAUAUCAGUCAAAGCAAAGCAAAGUCUCAUCUGCAUAGUCGUCAGUUUCGGUGAAAUGAAAUAAAAUUGUGAAACGAUCCAAUCUAUAUAUUAAUAUUCGUGUGUAAAUUGGUUAUUGUAUUCAUAAACUAUUUUAUAUAUUGACGUUUGAUAAUACUAUUGUGGUUAUCUGCUUACCUACAAACAAGUAAACAAAAUAAGUUUUAAAAAACCUCAUAUGAGUGAGAAGACUGUUAUGGAUGAAUAUUGUUGGCUAAUGAUUCAGGGACAUGGAUAUAUCCGAAUAAAAUAAAAAAAAGAGAAGUGUUGAGACCAAUGUCAUUGUCUGGUUUUCAACAAGGGGAGGCAUGAUGACAUAUAUGUGAAAAAAGAUUAUUACCGCAUCGGCUUUCGAAAAGGCAGACUAAUUCGGAGAGAGAGAGAGAGCGACUGAGAUGAUUUUUGUUUGACAUUUUUCGAAAACGAGAUUUUUUUUGUUGUGUUCCGUCCGAUUGAGGCUUGGUGGAGACAUGGCCGGAGCUAAUGAUGAUGAUUAUGAUCGUAACAACCGCCGGAUUGCUAACUGAUAUAUUUCAAGGACAAAGCUAAUACCCAUUUCUGGGUAUGCAAAUAUGGCUAACCCACUAUAAAUACACAUUCUUGUUUUGAGUCCUGAGGCAUUCAUCACCUCUCUUCUUCUUCAUCCUUCUUCUAUAUUUUUUCUUUGGUUUAAGCUGGGAAAUGGAUGUACUGAAGUUUGAUUACAACCACAAGGGUGACAAUGCAUUAAAGGAGCUCGAGAGGAUCACCUCGAAGGCUGCUGAAGUCCAAGAUAAUAUGUUAAGUGGGAUCUUAGAAAGAAACAAGGACACACAGUACUUGAGAAAGUACAUGAAAGGCUCUAAGGACGUUAUGGAGUUUAAACGCUCUGUGCCAGUCAUCACGUACAAAGAUGUAUGUCCUUACAUUCAGAGAAUUGCAAAUGGAGAAGACUCUUCUCUGAUUACUGGUCAUCCUAUCACUGAGAUACUAUGCAGGUCGAUUUUUAUUUCUAGCCUGAAUCUCUUUCUUAGUAACAGCCUCCCCUUCCUUUGUGUUUGAAUAUAAAUUUGUGUAUGGCUAAAUAAAUGUAUCUGCUUGCUUUCAUGUUGCAGCUCAGGAACUUCUGGUGGAGAGCCGAAGCUAAUGCCAACCAUUUCGGAAGAUCUUGAUCGGCGCACCUUUGUCUACAAUCUUAUCAAUCCAAUCGCGAACAAGUUAGUACAAUGUUUCCUGUUAAUAUUCAGUCCUGAUAUACUUUAACAUCCUCCUUGUUGCUCUUAUAAGAGUAGUGAUUAGUGAAGAAGGAAUUACAUCUUCCAUGCACAUGAAUAUUUACUUGAUAAAAAACAAAGUGGCUGAUCUCAUAUUCCAUAAAAGAACCACUAGGACUGUUCCUGUAGUUGUAGGAUAGUGGAUAUGUCUCAAAAUCUGACCUAUGGAAGUGGAAGUACACAUCACAUCACAAUUCCUCCAUGUUAUUAUCCACUGGAAACAUUUAAUAAAAAAGGAAAAAAAUUAAAAAGGUUAACGAUAGGCUUCAAUGUGAAUAUGGCUUCAUAAUCAUUGUAGGCACUAACAUAUGGAAUCUGGAUACACAUGCAUAGAUGUACUGGCCGUGGUACCAAUAAAUCUUCAUAGUAGGUUGCUCACUAAGGAAGUUUGCUUUCUGCUUUGAGUUUUGUGUUUGCUUUUUGUGGAAAUUAAGUGGUAUCAUGUCAUGUACUAUAAAGUUUGCAUCCAUCAUCUUUUAUCCACACGCCAUUUUGAUGUCCCCACCCAAAGAUUCUCUGAGAAUUUUGAACAGCACUUACUAAACCUCAAGAAUCUUUUCAUAUCCACUACUGAUUUUUCUUUUCUUUCAUUUUACCUCUUUUACCAUCGUCUCUCUUUACUAUGUUUUUGACUGAGAUUUAUUAUAUGUAUUACUGACAGGUAUCUAGAAGGACUUGACAAAGGAAAAACAAUGUACCUAAACUUCGUCAAAGCUGAAACAUCAACUCCUUGUGGUUUACCAAUCAGAACUGUCCUCACUAGCUACUACAAGAGCAAACAUUUCCAGUGCCGACCUUACGAUCCAUUCAACGACUUAACCAGUCCCAUCCAAACCAUCCUUUGUGAAGACAGCAACCAAAGCAUGUACUGUCAGUUACUUGCCGCUCUUAUUCACCGUCACAAAGUCAUGCGUCUCGGAGCUGUCUUCGCUUCAGCCUUUCUCCGUGCAAUCUCUUAUCUCGAGCGAAAAUGGAGCCAGCUCUGCCAAGACAUCCGCACCGGCCAUCUCAGUCCCAUGAUCACCGAUCCAGGAUGCCAGACGGCUAUGACUUCUCUUCUAGCCUCGCCAAAUCCUGACUUAGCUGACGAGGUUGAAGAAAUCUGUGGACGCCCGUCGUGGAAAGGGAUUCUGUGUCAACUCUGGCCUCAAGCAAAGUUCAUUGAAGCAGUAGUGACAGGCUCAAUGGCUCAGUACAUACCAGCGCUUGAGUUCUUUAGCCAAGGCAAGAUUCCGUUGGUUUGUCCAAUGUAUGCUUCCUCCGAGACUUACUUUGGAGUCAACGUGAAGCCACUCUCCAAGCCAUCUGACGUCGUUUUCACGCUCUUGCCCAACAUGUGCUACUUCGAGUUCAUUCCUCUCGGCAAAAACGGAACUCUCUCUUUUGACGUAGAGGACGAAGAAGUCGUCCCCUGUGACAAAGUGGUUGACUUGGUCGACGUCAAACUCGGACGCUACUAUGAACUCGUCGUCACAACCUUCGCAGGUAAAGAAACUGGUGGCAUUGUCUUCUCCUUUUUAGUCAGCUCUGACUCUUGCAUGGAAACAGGAUUGUACCGUUACAGAAUCGGCGAUGUCCUUCAAGUGGCGGGGUUCUACAACAAAGCACCACAGUUCAGGUUUAUCUGCAGGAGAAACGUGGUUCUAAGCAUCGACUUAGACAAAACCAACGAGGAAGAUCUUCACAGGAGCAUCACGCUGGCCAAGAAGAAGCUUGAAAACAAGGCAUUCCUCGCGGAGUACACGAGCUACGCGGAUACUUCAUCAGUGCCAGGUCACUACGUGCUCUUCUGGGAGAUCCAAUGGCUCGAACCUGAUGAUGAGGAGGAGAAGCUGCUGAUGGAAGAGUGUUGCAUUGCGGUUGAGGAAGAGCUGGAUUACAUAUACAGGCAAUGCAGGAAGAGAGAUAGAUCGGUGGGGCCUUUAGAGAUAAGAGUGGUGAAGCCAGGGACGUUCGAGAAGCUGAUGGAUAUGAUAAUAAGCCAAGGAGGGUCGCUUAAUCAGUACAAAACGCCGAGAUGUGUUAAGUCCAACAGUGCUAUGCUCAAGCUCUUGGACGGCCACGUGACCGGUUCCUUCUCUAGCCCUCGUGAUCCAACCUGGUCCCCUUGAUGUCGAACGUAUGUAUUGAUCGGAGAGACUAUAAUUUACUAAUCAGUAUUCGGUAAUAACCAAAUGGGAUCGGAUUUGCUGUAAUGCUAGCAGUAGCAGGCAUGUAAUGCUACUACCUGAUUGAUUAAAAAAUGUUAUAAGAAACUUCAUUUACCGAGUUAUCUAUCUCUUAUAGUUCCUUUCAGUUUCUCGUCGCAUAAUAUAACUUUAGUACCGAGUUACUUAUAUCGUAUGAUUUACAAUAUAUUAAGGAAUUUUAAGACGAUCAUCAUCCUCAAGCCCUCUUGAAACAAAAGCUACUGUGGGAUUCUUUUUUUGUAUUCUCUGGCAUGGCUUCUGAGGAAGAGUUGUAUUCAUUGGGUGUUUGAAGUGUGUUUCCCGGCCCAAACAUAUAACACAAGAGUCCAAUCUGUUUAUCCAACUGUCGUUGGUUACAAAUUUAAUUACAUCAUCAUCCACUUUGUCGGCACUUAAUCUUAUCAGGAUCAUGGAUAAAUGCCAUGUGAUCUGUGAACAUGGCUUCUUAACGGACAGAAACCCCACGUACGCUGUCUCCCAAAACUUGAUUCGGAUAAUACUGAAAUGAAAAAGCAAUUAUUAUGAUUGUUUUUUGAUUUUUCUCUUGUGUUGAACAUAUAUAGUCAGCCAAAAGACAUGAAGCGCAUCUGGUGUAGUGGUAUCAUAGUACCCUCCCACGGUACUGACCAGGGUUCGAUUCCCUGGAUGCGCAUUUUUUUGUGCAAGAGUGUUCCGGUUUGGUUUGCAUAGGUUUUUUGGGCUUGGUUAAGGAUUAGUAGUGGAAACUGGCUUAGAUGCAUUCAGAUUAUCCAUCUCUUGGCCUAGAUUCCCAGUUAGUCUCUUAAACUUAUGCUCCUCUCUUUCCAUUUUCUUUAACUGGAAGGGAACCAAUUAAGAUCAUGAGCUCUUGUCUCAUUAAUUAGAAGGAAGAGGUCUUGUUAAGCCGAAAGGUCUAGAGUUCUACAAGAACUAAUAUAUUCAGUAUUGGAGGCUACAAAAAUGGGGGGUACAAAACCACCUGGUCGUUGUUCGGCCUGCUUCUCAGGGAACUCUUCCACUGAACCAUAUAUGGUAGCACAUAACUUGCUGCUUGCCCACGCCUCUGCUUCUAGACUAUAUAAGCAAAAGUACAAGGUAAUAUUUCAAAGUCCGGUAAUUGAAUAUGAUAAAGCUUAUUGUUUAGCUGCAUGAUCUCAGUUGUUUUAUUGCACAGCAUACACACAACACAUAAAAAAAAGAGCAGGAGGUACAUAACCUAAUAAUAAUGAUAAUAAGCAACAAAGGAACAAAUCAUUUAUGUCAAACGAAGGAAAAAUCUCAGGGAUGUAACAAAAGCACCAUAUGUCACUGCUUCUGGAGGUGAAGAACCUUAACCCAAGCAGGCCUGGCAGUGAUCUUCUUGAUCCACUCCUUAACCUUAGGGCGAGACUCAAAGAGCUUCUUGGAGUCGGUACCCAUCAAGUAAUAGAUGAUUGGGAGGUGGUGAAGAUCAGCCAGAGUGAAGCAAUCACCAGCCAAGAAGGGUGAUUUGGAGAGCCUGGCCUCGUAGAUAUCCAAGACCUUCACCAACUUAGCUUCGAGGUCUUCCACAGCGGCAGGGUCAGUGGUCAUGCCAAGCAUGCCUUUGAAGACACGCUCGAAGGCUAGCUUAGAGGCGAUAGGGUCAAACUGUUGACCUUCAACUUGAAGCCAGACCUUUGUGGUGGCCUUGAGUUUCUUGCAGCCUUGGCAGAGAAGCUUCUCGCCUUUGUCGCUGUACUCCUCCGCUAUGUACUCUGUGAUGGCUCUUGACUCUGAAAAACAAAAAUGAAUUCAUGUGUAUCAUUGAUACUUAACCAACACGUAAUGAAAACAGAUUAAGAAAAAAAAGGAACUAACCGAAAAGCGUCAGAUCACCGUCUAGGAGAGCAGGGAUUUGACCGAAGGGCUAAAAAAAAGAAAAAGGAAAGAGCAGAGUGGUCAGAUAUGUGAAUGUGAUGAUGAAAACCAAAUUAACCAAAGCUGUGUAGAGAGUUAUUACGUACGUUGAGGGAGAUGAGAGGCUCCUGCUUGUGAGCACCGGCUUUCAUGUCGACGGGGACUAUCUCGAAAUCGAGGCCCUUCUCGUAAAGAGUAGCCAGAACGCGCAUUGUGGCCGUUGAUAUUGGAAGUCCGUGUACUUUGAUGCCGCCGCCCAUGCUUAUAAGCUUUUAAUUGGAUCUGAAGGGGUGAAUGGUGGUGCAUGGUGUUUUAUAGGUGGAGGAGGAGGCAAGGCAAGAGAAGAAUAAGUCGUUGUUGCCAUUCUUUUCGUUUGCACAAACUUCUCACCACCACAUCACCACGUCUCCUCUUCCUCCUCCUUCUCCCACUUUCUCUCUGUUUAUUUGUAACCUCUAUUUUUUUUUUUUAUCGUUUUAACCCAUUUGGUUUUGUAACUACAGAUUCAUAUACAUACAUAAAAUAAAUAAAGAAGUUAACGUUGGUUAUGCCCCCAUGCAUGUUUAAGAAAAGUAAUUUAAUAUUUCAUGCAUGGUAUCAGGUAUCAAUCCACCAAAUUUGUUUAACGAUGGUAACGUUUUAAAUUUGAUUUAUAUCCGAAUUUAACGUUUAGGAUGGUUAUACCUAAUAUCAGUCAACAAAAAGAUAAAAUAAAAUAGAUAGAUAGAUAUAUAUUAGCGCCUAUUCAAAUCACAAAACAACAAGUGUAGGUCGGUGUAUAUGGGGUACAUAAAAAAAAUAUGUGGUGGAGGCAUAUGUUGGGUAUAAUAAUUACACCAAUCAAAAGAGAGCAUAAUCUAACGAGGACCAUCCACGUAAUAAAAAAAUAUCGCAUUCAUUCCUUACUCUUUCAGUUGUACUUGUAUACAAACUCCUUUCUAAAUUUUAUAAUCGGGAUCGAUCUCUCUUUCUCUGAAACAUUUUGGAAACUUCUAGGUAAGGCUUCUUCAUUCCAAAGCAAGACCACAAUUUUUCUUCAUGGCCACCGGAGAGGAGAAACCUGUUAUGGUCGUCGGUAUCGACGAAAGCGAGCAGAGCACUUACGCCUUGGAGUGGACCCUCGAUCGUUUCUUCACUCCCUACGCUCCUAAUUUUCCUUUCAAGCUCUUCAUCGUCCACGCCAAACCUAACGCCGUCUCUGCCGUUGGUCUUGCUGGUCCCGGUACCCUCUUUUGAUUGACUAGCUAGGAACUGUCUUCUUCUAUCUAGGUUUCUCUGUUUCAGAUAUAUAUCAUUUGCGGUUUCUUUUUUCUUUUUAGGAGCUGCGGAGGUUCUGCCUUAUGUUGAUACCGAUUUGAAGCAUAUUGCUGCCAGGGUUAUCGAGAUGGCUAAAGGUAUCUGUCAGAGCAAAUCGGUAAGUAUUCACUCAUUAAUUCUUCGACUAUUUCAUAAAGGAUAAUUAUAAGAGAGCGUAUACAAUGAUGUUUCAAUGUUUGAUGAGCUAUAUUUGUUUUGAAUCUCUACAUCAUUCAAGCUUAGAUACUCCUUAUAGUUUUUUCCUUCUUUACUUUAUAAUUGAUCUUUUAUAUUUUUUUGUUUUUUUUUGUAAAAGUAAUUUAUCUAUUUUUAGUUACGUACUAGCUUCUUCUCAAUCAUUGAUUCUCUAGGUUUGUGCCGUGUAGGUUAAUGGCGCUAUGUUCGAAGUUUUUGAAGGUGAUGCAAGAAGUAUACUGUGCGAUGUUGUGGAUAAACAUCAUGCUUCUCUUCUUGUCGUGGGAAGCCAUGGUUAUGGAGCUAUCAAGAGGUAUAUAAUAUCUUUGUGUAUUUAAUUAUUAUAAUACUCACAAUCAUCAAUCUUGACUAUUUUUCUCGGCUUUAAUUCCCGACUCCUAUCACAGGGCGGUUCUAGGGAGCGUGAGCGACUACUGUGCUCAUCAUGCUCAUUGCUCGGUGAUGAUCGUGAAGAAGCCUAAGAUCAAGCACUGAUGAUCACCUAAACCCAAGCUGUUAUAUCAGUCAAAGCAAAGCAAAGUCUCAUCUGCAUAGUCGUCAGUUUCGGUGAAAUGAAAUAAAAUUGUGAAACGAUCCAAUCUAUAUAUUAAUAUUCGUGUGUAAAUUGGUUAUUGUAUUCAUAAACUAUUUUAUAUAUUGACGUUUGAUAAUACUAUUGUGGUUAUCUGCUUACCUACAAACAAGUAAACAAAAUAAGUUUUAAAAAACCUCAUAUGAGUGAGAAGACUGUUAUGGAUGAAUAUUGUUGGCUAAUGAUUCAGGGACAUGGAUAUAUCCGAAUAAAAUAAAAAAAAGAGAAGUGUUGAGACCAA